GCGGGUGUAGUUCAAUGGUAGAACUUCAGCUUCCCAAGCUGAUAACGUGGGUUCGAUCCCCAUCACCCGCUCCA
RNAcentral lists this transfer RNA (74 nucleotides) under Candidatus Kentrum sp. SD. RNAcentral's name for it is "Candidatus Kentron sp. SD tRNA_Gly_CCC". It matches the Rfam family "tRNA". Rfam says of the family: Transfer RNA (tRNA) molecules are approximately 80 nucleotides in length. Their secondary structure includes four short double-helical elements and three loops (D, anti-codon, and T loops). Further hydrogen bonds mediate the characteristic L-shaped molecular structure. tRNAs have two regions of fundamental functional importance: the anti-codon, which is responsible for specific mRNA codon recognition, and the 3' end, to which the tRNAs corresponding amino acid is attached (by aminoacyl-tRNA synthetases). tRNAs cope with the degeneracy of the genetic code in two manners: having more than one tRNA (with a specific anti-codon) for a particular amino acid; and 'wobble' base-pairing, i.e. permitting non-standard base-pairing at the 3rd anti-codon position. Lineage: Bacteria; Pseudomonadati; Pseudomonadota; Gammaproteobacteria. The record is from RNAcentral.